This 465-nucleotide ribosomal RNA is filed under the name uncultured bacterium. RNAcentral describes it as "partial 16S ribosomal RNA". It matches the Rfam family "Bacterial small subunit ribosomal RNA", at positions 339 to 795 of the family's 1533-position model. The record is from RNAcentral.
CUACGGGGUGCAGCAGUGAGGAAUAUUGCGCAAUGGGGGCAACCCUGACGCAGCGACGCCGCGUGGAUGAUGAAGGCCUUCGGGUCGUAAAAUCCUGUCAGAUGGAAAGAAAUGGUAUAUGCCUAAUAUGCAUAUAUCUUGACGGUACCAUCAAAGGAAGCACCGGCUAACUCCGUGCCAGCAGCCGCGGUAAUACGGAGGGUGCAAGCGUUGUUCGGAAUUACUGGGCGUAAAGCGCGCGUAGGCGGCUUUUUAAGUCAGAUGUGAAAGUCCACGGCUCAACCGUGGAAGUGCAUUUGAUACUGGGAGGCUUGAGUACUGGAGGGGAUGGUGGAAUUCCCGGUGUAGAGGUGAAAUUCGUAGAUAUCGGGAGGAAUACCGGUGGCGAAGGCGACCAUCUGGCCAGAUACUGACGCUGAGGUGCGAAAGCGUGGGGAGCAAACAGGAUUAGAUACCCCGGUAGUC